AUGGCACCCCAUCCAAUUUGGAAGAAGUUGUGGAGUUUGAGAGUGCCAGGGAAAGUUCAAAUUUAUAUCUGGAGAUGCUUGCACAAUGCCAUCCCAUGCCGGAGUACUCUUAUGAAUCACCAUGUUGGAAACUUGUCCCAAUGCCCAUACUGUACAGAUGGUGCAGAUGACUUAGCCCAUAUGUUGUUUAAGUGUGCAAGUGCGCAAGCAGUUUGGGAAGCUUUGGGAAUCACAGCAGAUAUUAACUUUGCUUCAUUGACUGAUCGAGCAGGUUCAGCAGUCUUGGAGUUUAUUUUAUGUGAUGAUUCUUAUCGACGACAACAUUGUGGAUUGUUCGAGCUACCAGAGCUCAUAUCAAAAGUUUGUUGGUUCUUAUGAUGGCAAAGAAGACAGUUCAUGCGAGGGGAAGAAAUAUUGACUCUAGAACUAACAGCGCCGGCGGUGGUUGCCCUAGCGAUUAAUUAUGUGCGCGUAUCACAAGCUAAAUCUACACCCAAGAUCAACAGGUGGCCGACGUUCCUAGCAGGACAGCUUGUCCUUAUGCUUCAUUCACAGAGGGAGAUUACACUGGGUCUUGUGGUGCUGUCAUCCAUGAUCACCGAGGAUCUUUCAUGUCAGCGUCCACGGCGAGAUUAG
RNAcentral lists this ribosomal RNA (636 nucleotides) under Triticum aestivum (bread wheat). RNAcentral's name for it is "partial small subunit ribosomal RNA". Lineage: Eukaryota; Viridiplantae; Streptophyta; Magnoliopsida; Poales; Poaceae. The record is from RNAcentral.